This 504-nucleotide long non-coding RNA is filed under the name Lathyrus oleraceus (garden pea). Its description in RNAcentral is "Pisum sativum (pea) long non-coding RNA (PSAT_LNC032432)". The record is from RNAcentral. Lineage: Eukaryota; Viridiplantae; Streptophyta; Magnoliopsida; Fabales; Fabaceae.
AAUCUCAAAAAAAAAAAUCCUCUUUAAUUAUAUGAUUUCGUGGAGGCGACCAAUCUAGAUUCUUUUCGAUUUUUUCCCAAAAUCUUUUGGUUCGUUCUUAUCUCAGUUGUUGUAGGUAUUUUUCUGGUUCUUUCUUCCUUGGAGUUUUCAUAUCGGUGUUUCCUCUUGGAGUUUUUCAAGCAGCAAAGCUCAAAUAUGGGGAAAUAUCUCUCUUACGGAAGAAGAAGGAGGAGAAGAAGAAGAAGUUGUUUAUAACUUUCCUCUUAUGCUAAGAUUUGAAACUAUGGAAGAAAAAAAAGAUAGGAGACAUUUUGGGGUUACUUUGGACCUUAAACAACCUCUGAGAAGGGGGAUAAUGAUGCAUUUUAAGGAUCUUUGUGUCUACUUCAAGUAUGAGCGACUCCCCACCUUCUUUUUUGUGUGUGGAAGAACAAUGCGUUAACUUAAUGACUGUGAGGUGCUAGGAGAACUGCGUGAAAAGGGCUAUGAAGACUUGGAUGAGCA